CUCUCUCUCUCACACACACACACACACACACACCACGCUCACUCGCGGUCCUCUCUGCAGGCGGGAGGAUGUCUGCACGGGCGGGAGGAUACGGACAGGGUGUGGGGACCUGGCUCAGAUGCUAGCUGGGCUCCCUCUCAGCCUUCCCUUGCUGCAGAACAGCCGUCCUUAGCAGAAGUGACGCCCUGCUAAAGCCUGUAGCGGGCGCUGGGCAGUGCCCCUUGUGCCGCCUCCUCAGCAGACCCUUCCUCGCCUCCCAUCCUCCAGGAAGUCUCCAGGCUUCCCUCCUUCCACACGCCCACUCAAAACGCCAAUGGGCCUGUGCCCCUUGGGGUCAGCUCUUCUACCAGGCUGGACCCGGUAGGAGCGGGAAACAGUAGUGAGGGAAGCACGCUGGUGGUGCGGCACAGCACAGUGACACUCCUGUGACUUCCUGCCUCUUCCAAGCCGACUCUUAUUACUCUUUUGAUGUGUGCGUGCAUGCAUGUGGGCCUGGAGCCCUGGAGGCCAGAAGAGGGCACCAGAAUCCCUGGAACUACAGAUGCAGAUGGUUGUGAGCCACCACACGGGUGGGUGCUGGGAACCGAACCUAGAUCAGACUCUGGAAGAGCAUCCAGUACUCUCAACCCCGCCCCGUCUCUCCAGCCCUCUCAAGAGAUCUUUAAAUGACUACUUUAGGAAACACGGAUCUUUAGAUUAUCACAGUCUACCCUGGACUAAUAUGCCCCGACGUGUGUGUGUGUGUGUGUGUGUGUGUGUGUGUGUGUGUGUGUGUGUGUGUGUGUGUGUGUCUGUGAGAGAGAGAGAGAGAGAGAGCAUGUGUGUUUGUGUGAGAGAGACUGUGUGUGUGUGUGUGUGUGUGAGAGAGAGAGAGAGUGCAUGUUGCAUGUGUGUUUGUGUGAGAGAGACUGUGUGUGUGUGUGUGUGCGCGCGCACUCGCGCGUGUGGGUGCGUGAGUGUGUGUGCGCGCUCGGUGGAUAGGUAAUGCAGAAAAACAUGCUUCCAUUUGCUUCCUAGCAGCCUCUUCCCAGUAGUGUUGUAUUUUAUCUCUAUACAUUACACUUUCUAAGUUAC
This 1074-nucleotide long non-coding RNA is filed under the name Cricetulus griseus (Chinese hamster). RNAcentral describes it as "lncRNA (ENSCGRG00015035198.1)". The record is from RNAcentral. Lineage: Eukaryota; Metazoa; Chordata; Mammalia; Rodentia; Cricetidae.